CAGAGUUUGAUCCUGGCUCAGAUUGAACGCUGGCGGCAUGCUUUACACAUGCAAGUCGAACGGCAGCAUGGGCUUCGGCCUGAUGGCGAGUGGCGAACGGGUGAGUAAUGCGUCGGAACGUGCCGAGUAAUGGGGGAUAACGCUUCGAAAGGAGUGCUAAUACCGCAUACGCUCUGAGGAGGAAAGCGGGGGACCUUAGGGCCUCGCGUUAUUCGAGCGGCCGACGUCGGAUUAGCUAGUUGGCGGGGUAAGAGCCCACCAAGGCGACGAUCCGUAGCGGGUCUGAGAGGAUGAUCCGCCACACUGGGACUGAGACACGGCCCAGACUCCUACGGGAGGCAGCAGUGGGGAAUUUUGGACAAUGGGCGCAAGCCUGAUCCAGCCAUGCCGCAUGUCUGAAGAAGGCCUUCGGGUUGUAAAGGACUUUUGUCGGGGAGGAAAUCCCGGUGGCUAAUAUCCGCUGGGGAUGACAGUACCUGAAGAAUAAGCACCGGCUAACUACGUGCCAGCAGCCGCGGUAAUACGUAGGGUGCAAGCGUUAAUCGGAAUUACUGGGCGUAAAGCGUGCGCAGGCGGUUGGAUAAGUCUGAUGUGAAAUCCCCGGGCUCAACCUGGGAACGGCAUUGGAGACUGUCCGGCUAGAGUACGUCAGAGGGGGG
Molecule: ribosomal RNA, 659 nt
Filed under: bacterium
Lineage: Bacteria
Description: bacterial SSU rRNA
Rfam family: Bacterial small subunit ribosomal RNA
Source: RNAcentral